Molecule: long non-coding RNA, 263 nt
Organism: Achroia grisella
Lineage: Eukaryota; Metazoa; Arthropoda; Insecta; Lepidoptera; Pyralidae
Exons: 3
Source: RefSeq, a predicted model, not a curated record
CGCAACCCUCCGAAAGGUAGCCUGUACCCACCCUUGUAAACGUAUUUGUGUACUUCGAAAUCAGAAAAUAAUAAAGAAAAAUGUCCAGUCGAGUUUACGUGGGUUGCAGCGCCGUUGUGGUCCUGAUGGUAGCCUUAGGAGGAGCAGCCGAUGUCUACGAGGACCCGCCUCCUGACGAGGUGGACACCGAUUUGGCCUCUAUGGAACGAAGCAAUAUUGACACGGGAUCUGAAUCACGGAAUGGACUGUUACCAAGGUCGAAC